UUCAGUACACAAGCAUGAGCUUGGUCGGAGUUUUCUCCUUUUCUACUACUGACUUUAUAGCCCUGUUGAGAAGGCUCUGCACAGGGCUUUGUCUGAUGUCAGGCAGGCCAUGCUGGGGAACCUGCUAGCAGAGUCCCCAGACACAGACAGGCUCCACUUCAUCUUAGAGAACUAAGCACAGUACCCCAAACUAGGGAACUUGGUGGCUUAGUUGUGACCAUCCAUCAGUGACCCAGCCCAGGACAUCAGCCAGCUGGCUAAGGAGAGGAUUUGUCAAUUCUACAAACUGCUGCUGUACCACAGCUGCUUGGGACAACUAUGAGGAGCAUGAAAAGCAUUGGAGCUUUCUGUCUACAGAUUCAGGAACACAACAGUGUAUCACUGCAUUACAUAUGAAAGGGAAGGAGCUGAGAGGAAGGACAAUUGUACUGCAAAGUGACCAGUGAAGGCGGCAAGUGCAGGGGACAGCUAUACUACAGAGUGACCACAAGGGGGAAGCUGCACGAGGAAGAGAGCGGCCAGCUCGGGCCAAGGCUCUCCAUGUUGCCAGCCACUGGCCCAGAUGGAGGACAAAGGAUUACAGGUGAAAACCCAGCCCCUUGAAGUUAAUAUUGGUCCGAACAUGAUGGGUGAUGAUUACAAUGAGUAGGAGAUAUAUCAGGGAAACCAAGAUGCACUCACUUGGAAGUGCCAAAAGACGGCAGAAGGUUGACAGAUCAAAGAGUAUUUUCUGUUCACAAGAGGCAGAGCAAUUUCACAACAUACAAAUAAAGCUUCUACCAACAUUUAUCACUUGCUGGGAACACAUUGGCACUGAACACAACAAGCCUUUGUUAAAUGAAAUUUCAGUGAUGCUUUUAGAACAUAUUAGAACUUUAACAAACAUCAGGUGCUGAGCAUAAUAAAUGCCUCC
Long non-coding RNA from Pelodiscus sinensis (Chinese soft-shelled turtle), 913 nucleotides. RefSeq lists it as uncharacterized. The record is from RefSeq and is a predicted model, not a curated record. Lineage: Eukaryota; Metazoa; Chordata; Testudines; Trionychidae.